This is a long non-coding RNA of Parus major (Great Tit), 264 nucleotides long. RefSeq lists it as uncharacterized. Lineage: Eukaryota; Metazoa; Chordata; Aves; Passeriformes; Paridae. The record is from RefSeq and is a predicted model, not a curated record. The transcript has 3 exons.
UAAUGACUGGACUUGAUCUUAGAGGUCUUUUCCAACCUAAAUGAUUCUGUGAUCUUAUUUCCUAAGUGCCUCUGAGCUGGGAUUCAGAAGCCUCGCCACAAUGAAGUGAUGUGAUCUAUAUAGCAAAUAUAUUUCACUGCCUGCACAGGAAAAAGUGCUUUGUGAGGCACCUAAGCACCUAAGAUCAUUCCAUGAUCAAGAGAGAGAAAAGAGGGUCUGAGAGGUGCACAUAGUACAUGACAUUUAUCACCUUCUGGAAGUGUU